UUAAUGGAGAGUUUGAUCCUGGCUCAGGACGAACGCUGGCGGCGUGCCUAAUACAUGCAAGUCGAGCGGGGUUAAUUAGAAGCUUGCUUCUAACUAACCUAGCGGCGGACGGGUGAGUAACACGUAGGCAACCUGCCCACAAGACAGGGAUAACUACCGGAAACGGUAGCUAAUACCCGAUACAUCCUUUUCCUGCAUGGGAGAAGGAGGAAAGACGGAGCAAUCUGUCACUUGUGGAUGGGCCUGCGGCGCAUUAGCUAGUUGGUGGGGUAAAGGCC
RNAcentral lists this ribosomal RNA (278 nucleotides) under Paenibacillus polymyxa. RNAcentral describes it as "partial 16S ribosomal RNA". It matches the Rfam family "Bacterial small subunit ribosomal RNA", at positions 1 to 265 of the family's 1533-position model. Lineage: Bacteria; Bacillati; Bacillota; Bacilli; Caryophanales; Paenibacillaceae. The record is from RNAcentral.